CAAACCUCAAGCUUCUGCUUGGUAUUGAGCGGUUCGCCUUCGGAAACGGAGGCGCCCUCGAAACUCGUGGGCGGUGAUGUCCAGCGUCGUAGCGUAGUCAUAAAACAAUUCCGCUUCCGAUCGCUUUGGACGACUCACCCGCCGGGAGAACCGACGCCUUCUUGGUGUCAUUUUUCUUAAG
This 181-nucleotide unclassified non-coding RNA is filed under the name uncultured Botryosphaeriales. RNAcentral describes it as "sequence contains ITS2". Lineage: Eukaryota; Fungi; Ascomycota; Dothideomycetes; Botryosphaeriales. RNAcentral also lists the same sequence under 1 other name. The record is from RNAcentral.